This 2437-nucleotide small RNA is filed under the name Pongo abelii (Sumatran orangutan). Its description in RNAcentral is "retained intron". Lineage: Eukaryota; Metazoa; Chordata; Mammalia; Primates; Hominidae. The record is from RNAcentral.
UCUUUAUUGAUAAGAAAUGCCAUGGUCAGAGGUCGAGUGCCCUGCUAGUGGCAGGGCUCCAACUAUGGGAGGCUGAGUCCUGAGCAUCUGGCCAGCUGUGCAACCAACCACAGAAGGGGGCGGGAGGAGGGUGACAGGACCGACUCUGUGUCCCCGGGGACCAACGACCUCCUUUGCCCCAGCACUGCCAAGGAGAUGAGCUCCUGGAUCGCGCGCAUCAACUUGGCUGCGGCCACGCACUCCGCGCCGCCCUUCCCCGCCGCUGUGGGCUCCCAGCGCAGAUUCGUGCGGCCCAUCCUGCCCGUGGGACCCGCCCAGAGCUCCCUGGUAUGGCCUCCGUGAAGGGGUGGGAUACGGUGGAAUUGGGAAUGUGCACCUGGAGCCCCAGGACUAGCUCGGGGAGGCUGGAGGCGGGCUGCGCACCUGGCCUGGGAACUGAGGUGACCAGGAGGGCGGCACACCCGGGCCCGGAAAGCGGUGGAGGGGACGCCCGGGACAGCGUCCCUCACCGCCUGCUGCUCGCAGGAGGAGCAGCAUCGAUCCCACGAGAACUGCCUGGACGCUGCCUCGGACGACCUGCUGGAUCUGCAGAGGAACUUACCGGAGCGGCGGGGCCGUAGCCGCGAGCUGGAAGAGUAUCGCCUGCGGAAGGAGUAUCUGGAGUACGAGAAAACCCGCUACGAGACCUACGUGCAGCUGCUGGUGGCCCGCCUGCACUGCCCCUCUGAUGCUCUGGACCUGUGGGAGGAGCAGCUGGGGAGGGAAGCUGGAGGCGCUCGGGAGCCCAAGCUCAGCCUGAAGAAGUCCCACUCGAGCCCGUCCCUGCACCAGGAUGAGGCUCCCACCACGGCCAAGGUGAAGCGCAACAUCUCAGAGCGCAGAACCUACCGGAAGAUCAUCCCCAAGCGGAACCGCAAUCAGCUGUGAAGCCAGCACCACCUCAGAGACACUGCCCCCUGCUCCAGGGUAGACCUGGGAUGAACCUCCCUGGAGGAGACUUAUUUCAAUGAGUCCACCGUGAUGGAUGAGGCACCUCCUUUCCCUGCUGAAGAACAAACCUCGUUUCCCUGUGGCCCUCAUUCUUGUGUCCACUGAAGCUUUCCUAAUACUGCUGUACUCCCCCCCCACCCCCAUGGCAGUCCCUCCGCAGCCCCAUCCCUGGCCACACCCAAGGGAAGAGGGAGGUUGAGGACUUGACUUUCCUGCCAGAGCUCAUCCCAUGUCACCCUCCAGGCCCCAGAAUCCAGAGUGGCCUCAUUUCCUAGACCUGGGAGCUCAGCACUUGUUUGAGAACCAGUGCAUAUGUGGUGUGGCCUUGAAUUCUGGGGGAGAGCUUGGGGCAGCAGAGGCCCCUGGGCAGCCCAGCCAAGGGAGCCACAGCCCCGAGGAUGGUCUUGCUCUGGGAAGUAGGUGACCUUCCUGGGGAGGCCCCAGGAGAGUGAAUCAGGGACUCUUGAGAAAUUCCUAACCAGCCUCCUGUGACCCAGGGAGCAGGGUCGCUAAGGUCCUGCCCACCGAGGGGACAGCCUUCUGGGCAGGGACCUCGGGGGUCUUCAAGGGCUCCGCACGGCUGUGGGGCCCUGUGCCUUUGUCUCCUUGUGUAUCUUUUCCCCCUACAGUCUUCCUUUCCCCCGAAGCAGAUGAAACAGUCUCACAUAUCCAGCUGCUCAUCAACAGAGCAGAGCUGAGGCAUGAGUGAGGGCUGGGAGGGGUGGGGCCUCCAGAGCUUUGCAGGGAACCCUGGAACCCUGGGAACAAAGAGUCUUUGUUCCAACACAGCAGGGAAGGAGGUUCUCUAGGUUCAGACCACUGGAGAGGAUAGAGAGGUGAAAGGUGGCGACAGUUUCCCUUAGGGGUCUGCCUGGCAGGAGCCACAGGUCAGGAGAGUUGUGAGGGAUGGGAUGGAGGCUGGCGACCAGGUAAGGCCUAGGCCACGCUCGGAAGACUCUACUGUGCUCCUUCCUACACACGCCUUAAAGCUUCCUUCCUGUGGGAUGCCUGGACCCCUUCCCCAUCUCUGGCAGGUCAGAGGGUCUCUGCUGCUCUUCCCUGGGAAAUCCCCUCGUCCUGCCCUCUGGCUGCCUCCCAACUGGGCUUGUUCUCUGAGGGAGGUUCCAGAGACUCAUGGACUUGGGGCUCUGCCUGUAGGAAGGAGGCUGGGCCAGAGGGAGCAGCCACCAUUGUCUCUGUUCAGCCAAGUGUGCAAGUAGGCUGCCCGCCAAGAGGGGGCCUCUGCUACCCGCUGCUGCCUGCCGGCUGACGCACUGCCUCCCCAGCCUUCCUGCUAGGCCACCCUCCUCCCUUCCCAUGCUUGUAACCAGCUCUGGGGCCUGGACCUCCACAAAGUGGCUGGCCCUUGGAGGCCACAUUUGGGUCUCCGGCCAGGGCCUGGGGCUAGGCCAUGCACCCAAUGGGUGCACAAUAAAUACAGGUCAAC